This 899-nucleotide ribosomal RNA is filed under the name Porphyrellus sp. 00-356. RNAcentral describes it as "eukaryotic LSU rRNA". It matches the Rfam family "Eukaryotic large subunit ribosomal RNA", at positions 66 to 943 of the family's 3401-position model. The record is from RNAcentral. Lineage: Eukaryota; Fungi; Basidiomycota; Agaricomycetes; Boletales; Boletaceae.
UAACAAGGAUUCCCCUAGUAACUGCGAGUGAAGCGGGAAGAGCUCAAAUUUCGAAUCUGGCGGUCGUAUCUCUGGCCGUCCGAGUUGUAAUCUAGAGAAGCGUUCUCCGCGCUGGCCCCGUGUACAAGUCUCCUGGAAGGGAGCAUCAUAGAGGGUGAGAAUCCCGUCUUUGACAUGGACCCCCUGCCAGCGCUAUGUGAGCCGCUCUCGAUGAGUCGAGUUGUUUGGGAAUGCAGCUCAAAAAGGGUGGUAAACUCCAUCUAAAGCUAAAUACAGGCGAGAGACCGAUAGCGAACAAGUACCGUGAGGGAAAGAUGAAAAGAACUUUGGAAAGAGAGUUAAACAGUACGUGAAAUUGCUGAAAGGGAAACGCUCGACGUCAGUCGCGUCAGCCAGCAAUCAGCCUUGCAAUCUUUGUAGGGCGUAAUUGGUGGUCUCGACGGGUCAGCGUCAGUUUGUCUCGUCGUACAAUGGCCAGGGGAAUGUGGCACUCCUUGGAGUGUGUUUAUAGCCCCUUUGGGUCGGAUGCGUCGGGCAUGGACUGAGGAACUCGGCACGAUUCUGUUUGUGUCUAGGAUGCUGGCAUAAUGGCGUUGAGCGACCCGUCUUGAAACACGGACCAAGGAGUCUAACGUGCAUGCGAGUGUUUGGGUGAGGAAAACCCUUGCGCGAAAGGAAAGUGAAAGUCGAGAUCUCUGUCGUGGAGGGCAUCGACGCCCGGAUGUGAUGUCUUUCGACGUCGGAUCUGCGGUGGAGCAUGUACGUUGGGACCCGAAAGAUGGUGAACUAUGCCUGAAUAGGGUGAAGCCAGAGGAAACUCUGGUGGAGGCUCGUAGCGAUUCUGACGUGCAAAUCGAUCGUCGAAUUUGGGUAUGGGGGCGAAAGACUAAUCGAACCAU